Carlito syrichta (Philippine tarsier) is the source of this 726-nucleotide RNA transcript. It is a transcript of the gene named mortality factor 4-like protein 1 pseudogene, with no coding region annotated. The record is from RefSeq and is a predicted model, not a curated record. NCBI's taxonomy places the organism in Eukaryota, Metazoa, Chordata, Mammalia, Primates, Tarsiidae. The transcript has a single exon.
GAUGGUGGCAGUACCAGUGAGACACCUCAGCCUCCUCGGAAGAAAAGGGCCCGGGUAGAUCCUACUGUUGAAAAUGAGGAAACAUUCAUGAACAGAGUUGAAGUUAAAGUAAAAAUUCCUGAAGAGCUAAAACCAUGGCUUGUUGAUGACUGUGACUUAAUUACCAGACAAAAACAGCUCUUUUAUCUUCCUGCCAAGGAGAAUGUGGAUUCCAUUCUAGAGGACUACGCAAAUUAUAAGAAAUCUCAUGGAAACACAGAUAAUAAGGAGUAUAAGAAUAAAAGAAUACUUCAAUGUAAUGCUGGGCACUAAGCUACUCUACAAAUUCGAGAGGCCACAGUAUGCUGAAAUUCUUGCAGAUCACCCUGAUGCUCCCAUGUCCCAGGUGUAUGGAGCAUCGCAUCUGCUGAGAGUAUUUGUGUGAAUUGGAGCAAUGUUGGCCUAUACACCUCUGGAAGAGAAGAGCCUUGCUUUAUUACUGAAUUAUCUUCAUGGCUUCCUAAAAUACCUGGCAAAGAAUUCUGCGACCUUGUUUAGUGCCAGUGAUUAUGAAGUGGCCCCUCCUGAGUACCAUCAGAAAGCUGUGUGAGAGGCAUUCGUGCUCACUAUGUUUGGAUCUCUGUAAACACAUUUUUGUUCUUAGUCUUUCUCUUGUACAAACGAUGUACUUUGAAGAUGUUAGUGUAUAACAGAAUUGAUGUUUGUUUUCUGUUUGAUUUUCAACAG